Oleiphilus sp. HI0065 is the source of this 348-nucleotide non-coding RNA. The record is from Rfam. NCBI's taxonomy places the organism in Bacteria, Pseudomonadati, Pseudomonadota, Gammaproteobacteria, Oceanospirillales, Oleiphilaceae.
AGAGCUUGCUGGGCAAUCGCCUUACUUUGUGAGGAGGAAAGUCCGGGCUCCAUAGAGCAGAGUGCCAGGUAACGCCUGGGGGGCGUGAGCCUACGGAAAGUGCAGCAGAAAGUGUACCGCCUAAGCUAUCUUGUAUAGCCGGUAAGGUUGAAAAGGUGCGGUAAGAGCGCACCGCGCGACUGGCAACAGUUCGUGGCGAUGGUAAACCCCACUCGGAGCAAGACCAAAUAGAAAUCCGAUGGCGUGGCUCGCGCUGGAUUUGGGUAGGUUGCUUGAGCUAGUUGGUGACGGCUAGCCUAGAUGAAUGAUUGUCCUCGACAGAACCCGGCUUACAGGCAAGCUCUUUUU